This 45-nucleotide non-coding RNA is filed under the name Schistosoma mattheei. Lineage: Eukaryota; Metazoa; Platyhelminthes; Trematoda; Strigeidida; Schistosomatidae. The record is from RNAcentral.
AUCCAGCUGACGAGUCUCAAAUGGGACGAAACUCUCGUUCUGUAU